GUCGAGGGGCAGCAUGAACUUAGCUUGCUAAGUUUGAUGGCGGCCGGCGCACGGGUGAGUAACACGUAUCCAACCUGCCGAUGACUCGGGGAUAGCCUUUCGAAAGAAAGAUUAAUACCCGAUGGCAUAAUUCUUCCGCAUGGUAGAAUUAUUAAAGAAUUUCGGUCAUCGAUGGGGAUGCGUUCCAUUAGGUUGUUGGCGGGGUAACGGCCCACCAAGCCUUCGAUGGAUAGGGGUUCUGAGAGGAAGGUCCCCCACAUUGGAACUGAGACACGGUCCAAACUCCUACGGGAGGCAGCAGUGAGGAAUAUUGGUCAAUGGACGAGAGUCUGAACCAGCCAAGUAGCGUGAAGGAUGACUGCCCUAUGGGUUGUAAACUUCUUUUAUACGGGAAUAAAGUGAGGCACGUGUGCCUUUUUGUAUGUACCGUAUGAAUAAGGAUCGGCUAACUCCGUGCCAGCAGCCGCGGUA
RNAcentral lists this ribosomal RNA (471 nucleotides) under uncultured bacterium. RNAcentral describes it as "bacterial SSU rRNA". It matches the Rfam family "Bacterial small subunit ribosomal RNA", at positions 61 to 522 of the family's 1533-position model. The record is from RNAcentral.